AAGUCGUAACAAGGUUUCCGUAGGUGAACCUGCGGAAGGAUCAUUAAUGAGAUCGUGCCCUCCGGGGUAGACCUCCCACCCUUUGUAUACUAUACUCUGUUGCUUUGGCGAGCCCGUCUCUACAGACUACCGGCCCCGGCUGGUCCGUGCUCGCCAGAGGACCUAAAACUCUGAAUUAUAAUGCCGUCUGAGUACUAUAUAAUAGUUAAAACUUUCAACAACGGAUCUCUUGGUUCUG
RNAcentral lists this unclassified non-coding RNA (238 nucleotides) under Geltingia sp. RNAcentral's name for it is "partial contains small subunit ribosomal RNA, internal transcribed spacer 1, and 5.8S ribosomal RNA". The stretch from base 1 to 46 matches the Rfam family "Eukaryotic small subunit ribosomal RNA", at positions 1786 to 1831 of the family's 1831-position model. Lineage: Eukaryota; Fungi; Ascomycota; Leotiomycetes; Phacidiales; Helicogoniaceae. The record is from RNAcentral.